UCCUCCAGGGGAAACCAGAAGAACGGCUGGCAGCUGUGUUCUGGAGCUUCCCGGAAGAGUUACCCUGAUGGGUUUCCAGGCCCCGGACAUCCGAAGAUGAGGGAAGUGAGGCCCAGAGAAGUGAAGUGACUUGCCCAAGGUCACACAGCAGACAAAUGGCAGAGGCGGAUUCAUCACCUCCCUCCCUGGGAGUUUCCAACGGGGCUCCCGGUCAAUCGGUGCAGGUGUGUGCGGGAAUUCUGGUGCAGGGACUCCACGUAUUCUCGGGCCGAUGCAGCAAACCGGUCCUCCGAUGUGCUGCCGCUCGAGUGCCGCUUCCGGAUCUGGUGGAGAGUUACAGGUUGGGCCUGACCUCCGGCCCGCUGCCCGCCGCCAGGCUGGGCAGAGCCAGCAGCUCCGGGGGGGGAGGGGGGUAUAGCAGGCUGCCACUCUGGCCUCAGAGUCUUCCUUUGAAACCCUCCUGCCACUCCCCCAGGCCUUGGUUCCAACCCCCAGGUCUCACUUCCUCUUGCUGUCCCUGGGCCCCAAGUCACUCUAGGGCCUCCCGUGGAGGAGCACUGCAGAGGUGAGAAAGACCAGGUGGGUCCUCCAGGGCGGCACUUUUGGGAAGCCCCAAUAAAGGGAGCGUGGAGCUCAUAGUGGAAGCCGGUG
Ornithorhynchus anatinus (platypus) is the source of this 651-nucleotide long non-coding RNA. RefSeq lists it as uncharacterized. Lineage: Eukaryota; Metazoa; Chordata; Mammalia; Monotremata; Ornithorhynchidae. The transcript is spliced from 3 exons. The record is from RefSeq and is a predicted model, not a curated record.